This is a long non-coding RNA of Bubalus bubalis (water buffalo), 257 nucleotides long. RefSeq lists it as uncharacterized. The transcript is spliced from 2 exons. The record is from RefSeq and is a predicted model, not a curated record. NCBI's taxonomy places the organism in Eukaryota, Metazoa, Chordata, Mammalia, Artiodactyla, Bovidae.
GGCUGGACGCGGUGCCCUGGGGCUGGCGGUCACCCGUGGGGACCCCAAGACUUCCUCGAAGCCGAGGUCUCAAAGGUCCCCUUCGGCCUGGCUACCUAAGGCGAGACCCAGCCCCCACCCCCAGGCCAGAGGAUGAAUCAGCUGCUAUCUGCUGCCUAGUCAACAUGGUCAACAUGAGGGAGUCAAGCAAGAGUUCCAAAUCUCUUGAAUGUGGCCCUUGGAAAUACUUCUGCUCUUAGUUGCUCAGUUGUGCCCAA